Non-coding RNA from Caenorhabditis elegans, 222 nucleotides. The record is from Ensembl. NCBI's taxonomy places the organism in Eukaryota, Metazoa, Nematoda, Chromadorea, Rhabditida, Rhabditidae.
AAUAAAGUGUGAAUACCGGAAGCUAUUGUUCUGAUCUUUUCGUUUAGUUUCCGUUGUGAUAACCACUAUCAUCUAUCAUCGAGAAGUGGUUUAUAAACAGGUGACUGAGGGAAUAAGGGAUGACCAUCGAUAUGUGUGAACACCUCGAUGUGUGAUAGAUUAUCGGAAUAAAAGAGACGCAUACAUACUGUCCGCCAGAUUUCGGUGGCUCAUAAGUGAUCG